This 465-nucleotide ribosomal RNA is filed under the name Vreelandella stevensii. RNAcentral describes it as "partial 16S ribosomal RNA". It matches the Rfam family "Bacterial small subunit ribosomal RNA", at positions 338 to 795 of the family's 1533-position model. Lineage: Bacteria; Pseudomonadati; Pseudomonadota; Gammaproteobacteria; Oceanospirillales; Halomonadaceae. The record is from RNAcentral.
CCUACGAGCGGCAGCAGUGGGGAAUAUUGGACAAUGGGGGCAACCCUGAUCCAGCCAUGCCGCGUGUGUGAAGAAGGCCCUCGGGUUGUAAAGCACUUUCAGUGAGGAAGAACGCCUGGUGGUUAAUACCCAUCAGGAAAGACAUCACUCACAGAAGAAGCACCGGCUAACUCCGUGCCAGCAGCCGCGGUAAUACGGAGGGUGCGAGCGUUAAUCGGAAUUACUGGGCGUAAAGCGCGCGUAGGUGGCUUGAUAAGCCGGUUGUGAAAGCCCCGGGCUCAACCUGGGAACGGCAUCCGGAACUGUCAAGCUAGAGUGCAGGAGAGGAAGGUAGAAUUCCCGGUGUAGCGGUGAAAUGCGUAGAGAUCGGGAGGAAUACCAGUGGCGAAGGCGGCCUUCUGGACUGACACUGACACUGAGGUGCGAAAGCGUGGGUAGCAAACAGGAUUAGAUACCCCAGUAGUC